AGCCUGAUGCAGCCAUGCCGCGUGUAUGAAGAAGGCCUUCGGGUUGUAAAGUACUUUCAGUCGUGAGGAAGGUUCAUCGUUAAUAGCGUAUGGAUUUGACGUUAGCGACAGAAGAAGCACCGGCUAACUCCGUGCCAGCAGCCGCGGUAAUACGGAGGGUGCGAGCGUUAAUCGGAAUUACUGGGCGUAAAGCGCAUGCAGGUGGUUAGUUAAGUCAGAUGUGAAAGCCCGGGGCUCAACCUCGGAAUUGCAUUUGAAACUGGCUGACUAGAGUACUGUAGAGGGGGGUAGAAUUUCAGGUGUAGCGGUGAAAUGCGUAGAGAUCUGAAGGAAUACCGGUGGCGAAGGCGGCCCCCUGGACAGAUACUGACACUCAGAUGCGAAAGCGUGGGGAGCAAACAGGAUUAGAUACCCUGGUAGUCCACGCCGUAAACGAUGUCUACUUGGAGGUUGUGGCCUUGAGCCGUGGCUUUCGGAGCUAACGCGUUAAGUAGACCGCCUGGG
RNAcentral lists this ribosomal RNA (504 nucleotides) under Vibrio sp. 4N2,2 5. Its description in RNAcentral is "bacterial SSU rRNA". It matches the Rfam family "Bacterial small subunit ribosomal RNA", at positions 380 to 877 of the family's 1533-position model. The record is from RNAcentral. Lineage: Bacteria; Pseudomonadati; Pseudomonadota; Gammaproteobacteria; Vibrionales; Vibrionaceae.